AGUGAACGCUGGCGGUAGGCCUAACACAUGCAAGUCGUACGGCAGCACAGUAAGAGCUUGCUCUUACGGGUGGCGAGUGGCGGACGGGUGAGGAAUACAUCGGAAUCUACUUUUUCGUGGGGAUAACGUAGGGAAACUUACGCUAAUACCGCAUACGACCUACGGGUGAAAUCAGGGGAUCUUCGGACCUUGCGCGAUUGAAUGAGCCGAUGUCGGAUUAGCUAGUUGGCGGGGUAAAGGCCCACCAAGGCGACGAUCCGUAGCUGGUCUGAGAGGAUGAUCAGCCACACUAGAACUGAGACACGGUCCAGACUCCUACGGGAGGCAGCAGUGGGGAAUAUUGGACAAAGGGCGCAAGCCUGAUCCAGCAAUACCGCGUGGGUGAAGAAGGCCUUCGGGUUGUAAGGCCCUUUUGUUGGGAAAGAAAAGCAGCAGGUUAAUACCCCGCUGUUCUGACGGUACCCAAAGAAUAAGCACCGGCUAACUUCGUG
This 491-nucleotide ribosomal RNA is filed under the name uncultured bacterium. Its description in RNAcentral is "partial 16S ribosomal RNA". It matches the Rfam family "Bacterial small subunit ribosomal RNA", at positions 29 to 507 of the family's 1533-position model. The record is from RNAcentral.